RNAcentral lists this unclassified non-coding RNA (300 nucleotides) under uncultured Glomeromycotina. Its description in RNAcentral is "sequence contains 5.8S rRNA gene, ITS2". The stretch from base 1 to 65 matches the Rfam family "5.8S ribosomal RNA", at positions 84 to 154 of the family's 154-position model. Lineage: Eukaryota; Fungi; Glomeromycota. The record is from RNAcentral.
GUGAGUCAUCGAAUCUUUGAACGCAAAUUGCACUCUCCUCGGAGAGUAUGCCUGUUUGAGGGUCAGCCUAAAAAAAAUCGACAUAGUUGCUGUUUCGCGGUGACAUUCGUCGGAAAUUGGGUCAUCUUAAACCUUUUGGUUUAAGCGGCUUAAAAUUUUCUUACCAAUUCCACGAACGUUUAUUCUUACACGUUUGAGGUAUCGAUCGCCGUCACAUCGGAUCGCGUUCAUAAAUCUUUCGUUAACUGACCUCAGACAGGUAAGAGUACCCGCUGAACUUAAGCAUAUCAAUAAGCGGAG